This 1528-nucleotide ribosomal RNA is filed under the name Klebsiella pneumoniae. RNAcentral's name for it is "bacterial SSU rRNA". It matches the Rfam family "Bacterial small subunit ribosomal RNA". Lineage: Bacteria; Pseudomonadati; Pseudomonadota; Gammaproteobacteria; Enterobacterales; Enterobacteriaceae. The record is from RNAcentral.
AGAGUUUGAUCAUGGCUCAGAUUGAACGCUGGCGGCAGGCCUAACACAUGCAAGUCGAGCGGUAGCACAGAGAGCUUGCUCUCGGGUGACGAGCGGCGGACGGGUGAGUAAUGUCUGGGAAACUGCCUGAUGGAGGGGGAUAACUACUGGAAACGGUAGCUAAUACCGCAUAACGUCGCAAGACCAAAGUGGGGGACCUUCGGGCCUCAUGCCAUCAGAUGUGCCCAGAUGGGAUUAGCUAGUAGGUGGGGUAACGGCUCACCUAGGCGACGAUCCCUAGCUGGUCUGAGAGGAUGACCAGCCACACUGGAACUGAGACACGGUCCAGACUCCUACGGGAGGCAGCAGUGGGGAAUAUUGCACAAUGGGCGCAAGCCUGAUGCAGCCAUGCCGCGUGUGUGAAGAAGGCCUUCGGGUUGUAAAGCACUUUCAGCGGGGAGGAAGGCGAUAAGGUUAAUAACCUCAGCGAUUGACGUUACCCGCAGAAGAAGCACCGGCUAACUCCGUGCCAGCAGCCGCGGUAAUACGGAGGGUGCAAGCGUUAAUCGGAAUUACUGGGCGUAAAGCGCACGCAGGCGGUCUGUCAAGUCGGAUGUGAAAUCCCCGGGCUCAACCUGGGAACUGCAUUCGAAACUGGCAGGCUAGAGUCUUGUAGAGGGGGGUAGAAUUCCAGGUGUAGCGGUGAAAUGCGUAGAGAUCUGGAGGAAUACCGGUGGCGAAGGCGGCCCCCUGGACAAAGACUGACGCUCAGGUGCGAAAGCGUGGGGAGCAAACAGGAUUAGAUACCCUGGUAGUCCACGCCGUAAACGAUGUCGAUUUGGAGGUUGUGCCCUUGAGGCGUGGCUUCCGGAGCUAACGCGUUAAAUCGACCGCCUGGGGAGUACGGCCGCAAGGUUAAAACUCAAAUGAAUUGACGGGGGCCCGCACAAGCGGUGGAGCAUGUGGUUUAAUUCGAUGCAACGCGAAGAACCUUACCUGGUCUUGACAUCCACAGAACUUUCCAGAGAUGGAUUGGUGCCUUCGGGAACUGUGAGACAGGUGCUGCAUGGCUGUCGUCAGCUCGUGUUGUGAAAUGUUGGGUUAAGUCCCGCAACGAGCGCAACCCUUAUCCUUUGUUGCCAGCGGUCCGGCCGGGAACUCAAAGGAGACUGCCAGUGAUAAACUGGAGGAAGGUGGGGAUGACGUCAAGUCAUCAUGGCCCUUACGACCAGGGCUACACACGUGCUACAAUGGCAUAUACAAAGAGAAGCGACCUCGCGAGAGCAAGCGGACCUCAUAAAGUAUGUCGUAGUCCGGAUUGGAGUCUGCAACUCGACUCCAUGAAGUCGGAAUCGCUAGUAAUCGUAGAUCAGAAUGCUACGGUGAAUACGUUCCCGGGCCUUGUACACACCGCCCGUCACACCAUGGGAGUGGGUUGCAAAAGAAGUAGGUAGCUUAACCUUCGGGAGGGCGCUUACCACUUUGUGAUUCAUGACUGGGGUGAAGUCGUAACAAGGUAACCGUAGGGGAACCUGCGGUUGGAUCACCU